ACUAUAACGCUAGCUCAACUAUUAAAACAUCCUACAAUACUACAAACUAAAACAUUCAAUAUUUUAGUAUAGGCGAUAGAAAUAAUAAUUUGAAGCAAUAGAUAAAGUACCGUAAGGGAACGCUGAAAAAGAAUUUAAAUAAACCUUAAAAGUAUUAAAAAGCAAGAAUUAACCCCUGUACCUUUUGCAUUAUGAUCUAACUAGCAAACAUGAGGCAAAAAGAAUUUAAGUCUCCCAUCCCGAAACUAGACGAGCUAUUUAAAAGCAACCUAACAUUAGGGUAAAUCCGUCUCUGUGGCAAAAGAGUGGAAAGAUUUUUAAAUAGUGAUGAUAUAUCAAACGAGUUUAGUGAUAGCUGGUUACUCAAGAAACGAGUUUUAGCUCCUCCUUAAGUCUUAUUUUAAUAUUAUCUAAAUAAUAAUAAAAACUUAAGAGCAAUUCAAAAGGGGUACAGCCCUUAUGAAAAAGGAUACAACCUAAAACAAUGGGUAAUGAUUAAAAUUAUUUAAGACUUUGACUUAAGUAAGCCUAAAAGCAGCUACCUAUUAAUGAAAGCGUCACAGCUCAAACCAACAAUAUAACCAACAAUCCAAAUACUAACUCAAAACCCAUUAAACAUAAUGAGUACGCCUAUAUUAACUAUAUAGCCGAAUUAAUGUUAGAACUAGUAAUAAGAAACUACAAUUUUCUCUAAAACAUCUGUAUAAAUCAGCUCGAACCACUCACUGAUAACUAACAACCAAAUAAUUCUAUUAAAAAAUCACACUAGACACCCAAUUUAUUUACUACACCGUUAACCCAACACAGGAAUGUUUUCAAGAAAGACAUAAAAGUAAAGAAGGAACUCGGCAACUAUUGAGCUUCGCCUGUUUACCAAAAACAUCACCUCUAGCAAACCUAAACAUGUAUUAGAGGCACUGCCUGCCCACUGAUUUUAUUCAACGGCCGCGGUAUUCUGACCGUGCAAAGGUAGCAUAAUCACUUGUCUUUUAAAUAAAGACUAGUAUGAACGGCGUCACGAAAGCCUAACUGUCUCCUUUAUUUAGUCAAUGAAACUGAUCUUCACGUACAAAAGCGUGAAUAUUAAAAUAAGACGAGAAGACCCUAUGGAACUUAAAACACGCAGCCAUUUUAAUCUAACACAACAGCAAUAAUACACCUGGAUUUCGCUGUUUUUGGUUGGGGCGACCACGGAGUAAAAUACAACCUCCGAGAACAUCUACUAAGAUUAACAAAACAACGUACCAAAACUUUAGCCUUUAAGACCCAAUAAACUUGAUCAUCGAACCAAGCUACCCUAGGGAUAACAGCGCAAUCUUCUUUCAGAGCCCUUAUCACCAAGAAGGUUUACGACCUCGAUGUUGGAUCAGGAUGCCCAGACAGUGCAGCCGCCGUCAAAGGUUUGUUUGUUCAACAAUUAAUAAUCCUACGUGAUCUGAGUUCAGACCGGAGCAAUCCAGGUCAGUUUCUAUCUAUUAAAUUAUUCCAUUUAGUACGAAAGGACCAAUGAAAUAGGACCAAUAUAAAAUACACGUCCUCUAGAAAAUUAUGAAAUCAACUAAAUACCAUACUACCACCAUACCCCUACAACAGGGGUUU
This 1599-nucleotide ribosomal RNA is filed under the name Hypogeophis brevis (Mahe caecilian). RNAcentral's name for it is "Grandisonia brevis (Mahe caecilian) 16S ribosomal RNA". It matches the Rfam family "Bacterial large subunit ribosomal RNA". The record is from RNAcentral. Lineage: Eukaryota; Metazoa; Chordata; Amphibia; Gymnophiona; Indotyphlidae.